GGAAAGGUGGAGGGAUGUAGGUAGCUGUGAUCAGAGAAACUGCAGACUUCAAGUUCAAAUGCAGAGCAGUUCUAGGGAGAAACUAGAUGUAGACUAGCACUCUUCAACAGAAAUAAAAUACAAGCCACAAAAGUAACUUAAAAAUUUCUGGUAUCCACAUUAGA
Molecule: non-coding RNA, 164 nt
Organism: Vicugna pacos (alpaca)
Lineage: Eukaryota; Metazoa; Chordata; Mammalia; Artiodactyla; Camelidae
Source: RefSeq, a predicted model, not a curated record